Molecule: long non-coding RNA, 1457 nt
Filed under: Lupinus angustifolius (narrow-leaved blue lupine)
Lineage: Eukaryota; Viridiplantae; Streptophyta; Magnoliopsida; Fabales; Fabaceae
Description: long non-coding RNA (LANG_LNC001480)
Source: RNAcentral
GCCCAACCAAAUCGUUGUUCAGCAGUUUCAACAGCUUCUUGAUAUGAAAAGUACCAUGAAAUUCCAAAGAAGGUGAAUAUUAAUGCUAAGAUUAGUAGAACAGGAUAUGGGAGGGGACUCAGAGUGAAACCAUCUAAAACUUGUGAGGUUUUGGUUCUAUCAUAAGCCAUUGAGUUUAUGGAAUUGUUUUGGUAUCAGAAUUCAGUAUAUGAUAAGGGUUAAUGGCAUGGUGAUACAUAUCAGAAUAUGUCACUAUGUCAGUGUCAUUUAUUUAUGAGUGUAAAAUAUAUACAUAUGUACUUCAUCAUUCACCGUUCAUUUAGAUUACCUUUUCUGAAAAGCCAACAAUAAUAAAAAACCAAUAAUGAUGAUACAAUGAUAGUGUAUAAAACUCAUACACGGUCAGAGAUACAUCUUUUUCUCUUUAUUUAUUAAAUGUUUAAUUGGUUGAUUUUGACAUGGUGGUAGGUUUGGAUAUGAAUGCUCAUAAUUGUCGUUGCUUCAGCACUCAAAUUAAGACACGUUUCAGUUUUGUUACUUAUUUCUUGAAAUAGUUAAUGCAACACAGUGAACAUGUAGUCGGCAUCAAAGACAAAGAAAACUGUACAAUAAUGCAUGGUAAUAAUAGGAUUAAACUAAUCGACCUCAUGAAAAGAGGGCAAACCCAACCUGUCCCAUGAAGCAUAUAUUCGUCGAGUAUCUAAAAAUUAAAAAAUAAAAUAAAUCAAUAUUAAGAUACGCAUAAUAUUCGUUUUCAAUAAAACAUAAGAUAAUAUAUAUUCGUUUUGAAUAAAAUAAGAUAAAAUAGACUUGUUUUCAAUAAACAUCAACUUAUUUAAAGGCCACAAAAAUUCAUACCAACAUAUCGUCACAGCGCAUUGACUCUGAUAGCCGGUCCACCAUACUGACUCUCUGAUUCAUAACAUUGUCAUCAAGGAGGAGAUGAAAUUGACAAUAUUUCUUUUUCUAUACAAUACCAAGAUCAAAGCAGCAACACCCCAUGGAGAAUUUCCUUCUGAUGAACUCUCAUAAGUCCUCAUGGGUCUUUGCCAUGCCCACAAACCAGAGAACCAAGCUGAAUUUUCCAUUGAUGAUAACCAACGAACUAAGAGUAUUAGCAGCACUGGAGUUGCAAAUAAUGCCCAACCAAAUCGUUGUUCAGCAGUUUCAACAGCUUCUUGAUAUGAAAAGUACCAUGAAAUUCCAAAGAAGGUGAAUAUUAAUGCUAAGAUUAGUAGAACAGGAUAUGGGAGGGGACUCAGAGUGAAACCAUCUAAAACUUGUGAGGUUUUGGUUCUAUCAUAAGCCAUUGAGUUUAUGGAAUUGUUUUGGUAUCAGAAUUCAGUAUAUGAUAAGGGUUAAUGGCAUGGUGAUACAUAUCAGAAUAUGUCACUAUGUCAGUGUCAUUUAUUUAUGAGUGUAAAAUAUAUACAUAUGUACUUCAUCAUUCACCGUUC